GACGAACGCUGGCGGCGUGCUUAACACAUGCAAGUCGAACGGAAAGGCCCUGCUUUCGUGGGGUGCUCGAGUGGCGAACGGGUGAGUAACACGUGAGUAACCUGCCCUUGACUUUGGGAUAACUUCAGGAAACUGGGGCUAAUACCGGAUAGGAGCUCCUGCUGCAUGGUGGGGGUUGGAACGUUUCGGCGGUUGGGGAUGGACUGGCGGCUUAUCAGCUUGUUGGUGGGGUAGUGGCCUACCAAGGCUUUGACGGGUAGCCGGCCUGAGAGGGUGACCGGCCACAAUGGGACUGAGAGACGGACCAGACUCCUACGGGGGGCAGCAGUGGGGAGUAUUGCACAAUGGGCGGAAGCCUGAUGCAGCAACGCCGCGUGCGGGAUGACGGCCUUCGGGUUAUAAACCGCUUUAGCCUGUGACGAAGCGGGAGUGACGGUAAUGGGUAAAGAAGCACCGGCUAACUACGUG
RNAcentral lists this ribosomal RNA (468 nucleotides) under uncultured bacterium. RNAcentral's name for it is "partial 16S ribosomal RNA". It matches the Rfam family "Bacterial small subunit ribosomal RNA", at positions 28 to 507 of the family's 1533-position model. The record is from RNAcentral.